RNAcentral lists this ribosomal RNA (274 nucleotides) under uncultured bacterium. Its description in RNAcentral is "partial 16S ribosomal RNA". It matches the Rfam family "Bacterial small subunit ribosomal RNA", at positions 523 to 796 of the family's 1533-position model. The record is from RNAcentral.
AUACGGAGGGUGCGAGCGUUAAUCGGAAUUACUGGGCGUAAAGCGCGCGUAGGCGGUUUGAUAAGUCGGAUGUGAAAUCCCCGGGCUCAACCUGGGAAUUGCAUUCGAUACUGUCAGGCUAGAGUGUGGUAGAGGGAAGUGGAAUUUCCGGUGUAGCGGUGAAAUGCGUAGAUAUCGGAAGGAACACCAGUGGCGAAGGCGGCUUCCUGGACCAACACUGACACUGGGGUGCGAAAGCGUGGGGAGCAAACAGGAUUAGAUACCCUUGUAGUCC